RNAcentral lists this ribosomal RNA (471 nucleotides) under uncultured bacterium. RNAcentral's name for it is "bacterial SSU rRNA". It matches the Rfam family "Bacterial small subunit ribosomal RNA", at positions 335 to 798 of the family's 1533-position model. The record is from RNAcentral.
ACUCCUACGGGAGGCAGCAGUAGGGAAUCUUCCACAAUGGGCGCAAGCCUGAUGGAGCAACACCGCGUGAGUGAAGAAGGGUUUCGGCUCGUAAAGCUCUGUUGUUAAAGAAGAACACGUAUGAGAGUAACUGUUCAUACGUUGACGGUAUUUAACCAGAAAGUCACGGCUAACUACGUGCCAGCAGCCGCGGUAAUACGUAGGUGGCAAGCGUUAUCCGGAUUUAUUGGGCGUAAAGAGAGUGCAGGCGGUUUUCUAAGUCUGAUGUGAAAGCCUUCGGCUUAACCGGAGAAGUGCAUCGGAAACUGGAUAACUUGAGUGCAGAAGAGGGUAGUGGAACUCCAUGUGUAGCGGUGGAAUGCGUAGAUAUAUGGAAGAACACCAGUGGCGAAGGCGGCUACCUGGUCUGCAACUGACGCUGAGACUCGAAAGCAUGGGUAGCGAACAGGAUUAGAUACCCUGGUAGGAAAG